RNAcentral lists this ribosomal RNA (483 nucleotides) under uncultured bacterium. Its description in RNAcentral is "bacterial SSU rRNA". It matches the Rfam family "Bacterial small subunit ribosomal RNA", at positions 323 to 811 of the family's 1533-position model. The record is from RNAcentral.
GACACUGCCCGGACCUCCACGGAGGGCUGCAGUAACGAAUAUUGUGCAAUGGGCGAAAGCCUGACACAGCGACGCCGCGUGUAGGAGGAAGUCCCUCGGGAUGUAAACUACUGUCAGGGUGAAGAAAGUCUGUUUCGGCAGAUUGAUCUAACCCGGAGGAAGUCACGGCUAACUUCGUGCCAGCAGCCGCGGUAAGACGAAGGUGGCAAGCGUUGUUCGGUAUUACUGGGCUUAAAGCGUGUGUAGGCGGAUAAAUAAGCGUUUUGUGAAAUCCCUCGGCUUAACCGAGGAAUUGCUUGACGAACUGUUUAUCUUGAGGCAAGUAGGGGUGCACGGAACUCUUGGUGGAGCGGUGGAAUGCGUAGAUAUCAAGAGGAACGCCAGUGGUGAAGACGGUGCACUGGGCUUGUUCUGACGCUGAGACACGAAAGCGUGGGGAGCAAACAGGAUUAGAUACCCUGGUAGUCCACGCUGUAAACGAUG